Molecule: ribosomal RNA, 279 nt
Filed under: uncultured bacterium
Lineage: Bacteria
Description: partial 16S ribosomal RNA
Rfam family: Bacterial small subunit ribosomal RNA
Source: RNAcentral
UGCCAGCCGCCGCGGUAAUACGGAGGGUGCAAGCGUUGCUCGGAAUCAUUGGGCGUAAAGCGCGUGUAGGCGGCCAGGCAAGUCGGAUGUGAAAGCCCGGGGCUCAACCCCGGAACUGCAUCCGAAACUGCUUGGCUUGAGUACGGGAGAGGGAAGCGGAAUUCCCAGUGUAGAGGUGAAAUUCGUUGAUAUUGGGAGGAACACCCGUGGCGAAAGCGGCUUCCUGGCCCAGUACUGACGCUGAGACGCGAAAGCGUGGGGAGCAAACAGGAUUAGAUA